AGAGUUUGAUCCUGGCUCAGGAUUAACGCUGGCGGCAUGCCUAAUACAUGCAAGUCGAACGAAAAAUAUAUAGAUGCUUGCAUUUAGAUAUUUUUAGUGGCGAACGGGUGAGUAAUAUAUAGAUAACCUGCCUUAAAGUUGGGGAUAACAGAGGGAAACCUCUGCUAAUACCGAAUACGAUAACUAGACGCAUGUUUAGUUAUUAAAAGGGGCUCCAAAGCCCCGCUCUAAGAGGGGUCUAUAUCGCAUUAGCUAGUUGGUAAGAUAACAGCCUACCAAGGCGAUGAUGCGUAGCUGUACUGAGAGGUAGAACAGCCACAUUGGGACUGAGAUACGGCCCAAACUCCUACGGGAGGCAGCAGUAGGGAAUUUUCGGCAAUGGGGGGAACCCUGACCGAGCAAUGCCGCGUGAUUGAAGAAGAUCUUCGGAUCGUAAAGAUCUGUUAUUAGGGAAGAAUGGAAUUGAUAGGAAAUGAUCAAUUUAUGACGGUGCCUAAUGAGGAAGCCCCGGCUAACUAUGUGCCAGCAGCCGCGGUAAUACAUAGGGGGCGAGCGUUAUCCGGAAUUAUUGGGCGUAAAGGGUACGUAGGCGGGCCUGCAAGUCUGAUUUGAAAGCACACGGCUUAACCGUGUGAGGUAAUUAGAAACUACAGGUCUAGAGAGUGGUAGAGGUAAAUGGAAUUCCAAGUGGAGCGGUGAAAUGCGUAGAGAUUUGGAGGAACACCAGUGGCGAAGGCGGUUUACUGGGCCACAUCUGACGCUGAUGUACGAAAGCGUGGGGAGCAAACAGAAGUAGAUACCCUGGUAGUCCACGCCGUAAACGAUGAUUACUAGGUGUCGGGGGGGUAUAAACCUUCGGUGCCGCAGCUAACGCAAUAAGUAAUCCACCUGGGGAGUAUGUUCGCAAGAAUGAAACUCAAAGGAAUUGACGGGGACCCGCACAAGCGGUGGAGCAUGUGGUUUAAUUUGAAGCAACGCGAAGAACCUUACCUGGUCUUGACAUCCCUCCGACAGCCUCUUAAUCGAGGUCUUUCUUCUGAACAGAGGAGACAGGUGGUGCAUGGUUGUCGUCAGCUCGUGUCGUGAGAUGUUGGGUUAAGUCCCGCAACGAGCGCAACCCCCAUCUUUAGUAGCCAGCAAGCUAAGUUGGGAACUCUAGAGAGACUGCCGGGGAUAACCCGGAGGAAGGUGGGGAGGACGUCAAAUCAUCAUGCCCCCUAUGACCAGGGCUACACACGUGCUACAAUGGCGUAAACAAAGGGAAGCAAGACAGCGAUGUUAAGCAAAUCCCAAAAAUAACGUCCCAGUUCGGAUUGUAGUCUGCAACUCGACUGCAUGAAGCUGGAAUCGCUAGUAAUCGCGAAUCAGAAUGUCGCGGUGAAUACGUUCCCGGGUCUUGUACUCACCGCC
This 1410-nucleotide ribosomal RNA is filed under the name uncultured bacterium. RNAcentral's name for it is "partial 16S ribosomal RNA". It matches the Rfam family "Bacterial small subunit ribosomal RNA". The record is from RNAcentral.